Molecule: long non-coding RNA, 970 nt
Organism: Asparagus officinalis (garden asparagus)
Lineage: Eukaryota; Viridiplantae; Streptophyta; Magnoliopsida; Asparagales; Asparagaceae
Exons: 5
Source: RefSeq, a predicted model, not a curated record
CUCUCCCCUGCUCCUCUCCAUCUCUCUGUCUCUAAAUUAAUUCAACGUUUGGCCUCCUCGCUUUAGGUUCCUUCAUUUCUCAAUGACAAUGCCCUCUCUAUAUUCCUCCUUAACCGCUCUCUCCUCGGCCUCUCUUUCCCAUCUCUCUCUAAAUUAUUUCGACGAUCGAUCUCCUCACUUCAAUUUCUUUCGUUUUCAACCGUUGACAAUGUAUACGUCCUUCCUUCAGAAGAUUCGUCCGAUACUAUAAUUGGUAAUAACUGCUAGGGCUUUCUGAUCCCCAUCCCCAUCCCCAAAGACUAAAAUUUAGGUUAUUUUGUGAUUCUAUAAAUACAUACUGCUUCAACUUUGAUGGAGCAAAGAAGGUGUUUAUUUCCAAUUGGGUCAGAGAUUGAUAGGAGUAGAAAGCUAUCAAGCUUGGGAAUAAUCUAAACAGACGCUUUGCAUUUUAGGGAGAGUCAAUUUUGAUGCUCCCUUUUGCUAUUCUAGGCUUAGUCACGAAGCCUUUGGAGCUAAAAGGUUUUGGUUCGUGCAAAUUUCCGAAAGAAAAAGGAUAUGGGGAAAUGACUAUUCCUGUGGUUGAAGGUUGAAGUGAAUGGAACAAGUUUUUUGUGGACAAAGAUGAAAAAGUUGUGGAAAGAUAUGCACCGACAACCUCACCUUUGAAAAUGGAGGUACAACUUUGACCUACAUAAUGUUGCUUCACUUUUAUUUGUACUUAUUAUUGCAACUAUACUUUAUCUUCCAAAAAACAAUACAUAGCUUUUUGGGGUUCGCAGGAACUUAAGUGCCUUCUUUGAGAGACUAUAUUGCUCGUGAUGCGAGUAUGUGAUCUUAUGUACGCAUAAAUGGAUGCUUGUUCUAGAAAACUUGUAUAUUGCUAGAAAUUCAUUAGCUUCUUAUUGUAUGUGAGAAAUAUUAUUUAUUUUUAAUUAUUGGCUUUCAACAAUAAAUCUAUGUUUGCAAGCUA